RNAcentral lists this ribosomal RNA (390 nucleotides) under Olavius algarvensis spirochete endosymbiont. Its description in RNAcentral is "SSU rRNA". It matches the Rfam family "Bacterial small subunit ribosomal RNA", at positions 1 to 391 of the family's 1533-position model. Lineage: Bacteria; Pseudomonadati; Spirochaetota; Spirochaetia; Spirochaetales. The record is from RNAcentral.
UGAACUGAAGAGUUUGAUCCUGGCUCAGAUUGAACGCUGGCGGCAUGCCUAACACAUGCAAGUCGAACGCGAACGCCCCUUCGGGGGUAAGUAGAGUGGCGGACGGGUGAGUAACGCGUGGGAAUCUGCCUCGUAGUAGGGGACAACCCGGGGAAACUCGGGCUAAUACCGCAUACGUCCUAUGGGAGAAAGGGGGCCUCUGCUUGCAUGCUCUCGCUAUGAGAUGAGCCCGCGUCCGAUUAGCUUGUUGGUGGGGUAAAUGCCUACCAAGGCGAUGAUCGGUAGCUGGUCUGAGAGGAUGAUCAGCCACACUGGGACUGAGACACGGCCCAGACUCCUACGGGAGGCAGCAGUGGGGAAUAUUGGACAAUGGGCGCAAGCCUGAUCCAG